UGUUUCUCGUUCCCUCUGCAUUCUGCCCAAUGUUGCCAACUUCCCUUGUUCAUAAUAUUGUUCAGCAUAUUGCCACAAAUGCUUGCAAAUGUGUGGUUCAGUGAGAAUCAGCAGUUCAGUGAGGUUCAGCAGUUUCCUAGCAUAUAACAUUCCAAACUUUCAUUGUCAGCAAAGGGCUCUUCGCAAAAUGGCUACUUCUGUCCAACCCAUUUUUAUCAAAAUGUAGGGGAAAGACUAUUCUUGGGGUACCCUCCGAUUACAGGUUCUAGUCCAUGAAUGCUUAAGUUGCAAAUUCCCAGCAAUGUACCUUUUUGCCAUUUUUAUUCAUUUGCUCUGAACCAGUGGUGUUCAGACAAUUGCAAAGGUCCUCUUUUAUGAAUCAAUGAGAACUGCUGGCUUUGUGAUGACUUCAGGAGAGGUAAAUCCUCACACUUUUUUGAGAUUUUGCUCUGUAGUGGUCACUUGCUAUUCCUGCUACUGAAUUUGGUCAAGCACUUUAAUCCUAAGCACAACUACAACCCACUGAAACCCCUCCAAGUACUGUGCUUAGGAUCAGGGUGUUUAAAAAAAUGUUCCUCGCACUAGCACGAAGCCACGCCUCUUAGUAUUUAUAUUGUGAACAACAUAAUGUAGAAAAGUGCAUGGAGGUCGUGCAGGGAAAUUAUAUAACCUGUUUAUGCAAAAACAGUAUUGUGCAAGUCCUGUUAGUACUGAGCUAUGGGUAGCCAAGCAUGUGGGCAAGUGAAAGUAGAAGUCCCAUCAUGACCGAGGCUAGAGUUGUGAUGGUGCACCGGGGCAAAUCCCAUAGGAGGGCCUAGGCAGAAUGUAGAAAGCAAGAGCCAUAGAAAUGUAGCACAGCAGAGGUAUAGCUGAGCAUAGUUUGGGGAACAGUUCACUGGGCAAGAUUGGGUAGGAGCAACAAGUAAAAAGAAAGGCAGGCAGAUGAGGAAGCUAGAAGACUGGCAGGCAGAGAGACCCAAGAAUAGUGACAAAAAUUGCUUUAGGAGGAGAGCUACAAAGCCACAUAGCAGAGCCAGAAUUUGGUUGUUGUCAAAUCAAAGAGAGCCCUGACCAGGAAGCAACUGAAAGCAAUGAGGGUUAGGAGGAAUUGAUGGGCUACCUGCAAGGACCCAUGCUGGAACGUUGGAAGAGAAAAAUUGGCUCACCACAAGAGCAAGGAAAGGAGGGUCACCAGCAUGGACAGCUGCCUUAUACUGAGUCAGACCAUUGGUGCAGCCAGCUCUGUAUUGCCUACACUGACUCAGCAGUGCCUUUAUGCAUUUCAGACAACGGUCUGUUCCAGCCAUCCUUGGGAGACGCUGGGGACUGGAACAAAGCAGACGCUCCACCACUGAGCUAUAGCCCUUCCCCAAGUACAAUAAUGAGAAACACACAAGGUAUUGUGCAGACAAGCUGCAUUUAUUACUUAAUCACUUGUUCCCAAUGCAUUUGGGUUGCUUUUCCUCGAGGGGAUUUAUCCAGCAGUUAGCUCGAUACAUACGGCAUCUCUUGCAAGCAGAGGGGUGCUGUGUCUCCAAACAUGAUUUCUAUCACUUCCAAUGGGUGGCCACAAGGGGCACCAAUGCACACUUUGGGAAAUUAGUUCAGUUAAUUCUUGACAAUUAGCAGAAGAGGUAAAGUAGGAGCGAGGGGAGCCAUGCAUGUCCAAGCAAGCGUACAAGAACUCCAUAUAACUUUGGAGGAACUCAUUUAUGAAAACUUAAAAGUAGCCAAGUAAGCAAAAACCUUGGGUAAACCUUCAUUAGGAUAGAGCAGGAUUUUAGUACGUUUUGAAAGCUAAUGAUUAAUGGAUGCUAAGGCUAUGGGAAAUUGUGGUGCUAAUGGGAAAAAGACUGUAUUUCUGUACUGCAUGCAGAAGGUCCCAAAUUCAGUCUUGGGUAUCUUCAUUUGAAAGAAUCAUAGGUGGUUGAACAAGGAAAGAGUCUGCCUAAGAACCUGCAGAGCAGCUGUAUUUCUAAGACAAUAAAUGCAAAAACCGUAUGGCAAAAAGAGACUGAAUCCAUGGGCAUGACUUGUUCAAACUAUUUUUUUAUAUAAGCUCUGGAUCUAGUAACAAAAGUAAUUCCAUAGCAAUUUACCUUUCUUGCACGGUGCGACAUGAUAACUUUAAAAGUAUUUCACAACAUGGAAUCAAAACCCAGGGACGCUUCCAUAUUAAUACAAUUUGUGUGUUGGAACUUUCAUACAGAGUGGUUCGUUUUUCCUCGCUGUAAAAGCAUAAUGGCAUCCUAGAUUAAGGCUGCAGUUCUAACCCUCCCUCACCUGGGAGUAAGCAUGAUUAGGCUCACCUGUAGGUUAUGUUUUUAAACCUACUUGCACUGUGUCUAGCACAAUGUAUAAGUUAAUGGAAGAUACCAAUGAAUAGUCUUGACUGGUGCUGUUCAGCAUUUCAAGCGUUUUCAUAAGGCACUUUAGAAUGAGCUUGUCCAAAGCCAUUUCAGGUCAAACCUGAAACACAUAAGGUGUUCAGUUCUCUCAUUAACCUGGUUUUUGCAUUUGCAGGAGGAAAUCCUGUUUUCCCUGGAGCGAGGGAAAGGAACCUGUCACCCUCCAGAUGUUGCUUUCCUAACUAUUGGCCAUGCUGGCUGGGACUGAUUGGAGUUCAAGUGCAACAAUAUCUGGAGGGCCACAGGCUCCCACCCCUCCACACCUUGUUCAGCGCCCAGAUGCUAACAGUAUACCCUGGUAGGUUCUGAUAUACAGCAAAAUGAGUAUUGGUGCAGCAGUAGAGGCAACACGUUGCAUGCAGAAGGUCUCAAAUUCAGUCUCGGGUAUCUUCAUUUGAAAGAACCAUAGGUGGUUGAACAAGAAAAGAGUCUGCCUGAGCAGCUGCCUGCCAGAGUAGCCCAUCCUGGGCUAGAUGGGCUAAUGGUCUGAAGCAGAAUAAGGCACCUUUGUAAGUUCCCAACAAAUUGUUCUCCUCUUUCCUAAAAAGGAAAGCACUUAAAACCCUGCCUAAGCCACUUUGACGGUGGAGUCAGCAGCAGAGAGGCCAAGACCCUGACUCGCCACCCUGUAAAGUGGCCUCCUUACAAAUCCUGUUGCCACUGACUGGUAAUCACAUAGUACCAUUCAGGAGGGCUGAAUUUAUAUGGCGGGGGGCUUGCAUUUUCCCAUGCUCUUUAGAUCUACUAGGACAGGGGUUGCUCUCCAGAUGUUGUCAGGCUCCAACUCGCAUUUGUCCAGCAACAUGUGGAAGGUCACAGUUUCUCCACUUUUUAUUCUUCUGAUCCAGUACUGCUUUUUAUUUUUGAAUGAUGUGUUCACCUUAGCAAGAUCAAAUACCAACUGAGGUCCCCAUUUUCUCCACAUAUUUGGCGUGUCCUUCCUGAAGAGCCAUCGGUAAUAAUCUGUUCUCCUUGACUCUGCAUCUCACACUGUGUCCCUCAACGCCAUAUUGUAGUGGUCUACCUAAAAUGCCUUCCCCUUCAGCCAUUACACCUUUGCUUUUGCCACAUAUUGAUGACAGAAUGGCGUAUAUGGUGGGGAACACCUGCAUUCCGCCUCAGCCGCUUGCUGAUUAGACCCUGUUAUAAUAUCCCCUCUCUUGUUAAAGAGAGUUGUGUGAAAGGCUGUGUGUCUGUGGGUUCACUGUGUAAACACAGAAGGUUGGUGCCUGGGGCAGAAUUUGCCCUCCUGAGAACCUGAGCAUUCAUAUAAUAUUAUAUAUAUAUAUGUAAAAAUCAUCGCUUCAAAGACCUGUUUUAUAACUUGAAAUCCAGAAUGUGGGGAAUAUGGUGCAUUCUCUUAGAAUCAAAACACGUUUUCAUUUGUACAUGUGCCAUUGAGUAGUUAUUAUUAUUAUUAUUAUUAUUAUUAUUAUUAUUUAGUCAUGUAUUUUUAUUUCCUCACAAGUUAAUAUUCCUUCAGUCCUAGGGCCUGAACAUGCAAAUAUACAAGGGCGGUAUAAUUUGUAGCCUGCAGUUAAGCUAAAUGUUUCAGUUGGUUUCAGCUGUGGUCCCAAGUACAGCUCCAUUGUAAUCAGUGGGAUUUAACUUCUAUGCAAUAGCCUUAAUCCAAUGGUUCUAAUGGAAGUCUAGAACGUCAUGGUCAUGGAGUUUCACAUCUAAGCACAAGGAGAUCACUCUAUACACGACAAGAAUCUCCUGUCCAUGCAUGGAUCCCUUCAUGGAAAAGAACGGGAAGGUUCUGCACACGCAGGUCUUUAGAUUAUGGACCGUGUCCCCUGGUUCUAAACUCUGGGUGCUCAGAUGUGUAAGCAGAGCUCCCAUGUAAAUGGAUCCCCCCAUUCACUUGAAUAGAUGGGAGCAGCACUGGGCUAUCCUAUUAUCCCAUACUGAUAAGAGUAUGUGUGCAUGUAGAGUUCCCAUGCUUCAGUUAGACUAAUGGAGUGAUCCUAAAACUUACUGUCCCAAAUAAAUCUUGUUGAUUGAGCAUCCCAAGUACCAUGAUACAAAAUGCAGCUGUAUCCAUUUUUGCAGACAGAUAUGCCAGUGCAAAUAUUGGUGACAGGGCUACAAAUCAUCCUACUAAAGUCAAUUCCUCUAGCUCAGCUGGCUUGGGCUGUUACAAGAAUAGAAUAAAAUCUCAAUCUUCAACCCAUUUAUCCCCGAGUAGUUUCAUUUACAUUUCUUGAAGUCAACUGACUUUUCUACAGGAUCAUUGCAGUGCAAGUCAUUUCAAGACGACAUGUUUCAGGGUCUCGACCCUAAGCAUAGUUGGUCUUCAACAUCUUCCAUUGAAACCAAUGAGAUUUACUUGGGAAUAAGUGUGUUUACAAUUGCAAGGGAGUGUUUGCAGUCUCAGGUUCCUGGUUCGUAACUGACUGAUGCAGUGAGGACACAUGGUUAGUAACAGCACUUGGACCCAAUUGUUGGGGUCAACAUUUGUUGAAAAGAUGGACAUUUAUAUCCAAGUUAUUUUAUCUGCAAUGUAAAUGAUUACUAUUUUAAUUGAUGUGUGCUUUUCUAUACUAAAAUGGAUACUACUAUUGGCUUCUCAGAGUAAAAAACAAGUGUAGUAUAUUACUAGCCUUUUUAGGGAACGUGUCAGUAGCUGCAAGUGUAGAAGGUCUGUGCUUUUACAAUAUAGGUUGCCUUAAAAUGUUUUAGAUAUGCAAGCUGCUAAUCUGAUUGUAGGGACUAAAUGUUAGACAGGAUAUAAAGUACAUAAUCUGAGUGAGCCGCAUAGUAUAAUAUUUGCAUUUUGCAACUGAAGAGAGAAAGCUUAUUGGACGUAGUAUUUUUUAGGUCUCGUUUGUUUGUUUUGUUUUUUUAAAAUGUAUGUAAACUUGAAAGUUUUGGUAAAGCGAAAUGUACAUGUAGAACAGUAGAGUGGAAAAGGAUCGUGCUGGAAAUUAAAAUUAGAAGAAAAGAGCUUGAUUUAUUUUCUGUGUUUUGGUUUGACAUUGUCACUAGAAACUAGUCAGUGACGGAUACCUAAAGCCGUUUCACUGAUUUCUUGUCAUUAGAGUAAGCCUUAGGUAUCAUUGUACAUAAAGGUUUUUGUAACAGGAGGAGAGAGGGCCGUUGUGCUUGGAUCCUGCUUACAGGCUUCCCACAGGCACCUGUGGGAAAAGGAUGCUGGACUAAAUGGGCCACUGGUCUGACCCACCAGGCUCUUGUUAUGUUCUCUUAACUAUGGCUUACAAAGUAUUCUGUGUUUAUUGAUAGGAUUGCCAGCUUACCACAAAAGCUUUGACUAGCCUGCUCCCAUUUCUUUAUUAGUGGCAUUAUUUGCUGAAAUCAGCAAAUGACCCCUUUCUCAUCACUGAGAUGAACAUUAUCACUGGCUAAUGCUUGUAGAUCAAGCCGCUGAUUAAAAUGCUGGCAACCUAAUUGUUGAACCAUAAAUGAAAGCCACAGAGUUAGAAGUAAAUAUUGGCAUCUGGAUAUAAAAGUCUGUAUUUCAAAAGUACCGUUUUCAUGGUUUAGGCUUAGUUGCAAGAGUUCAUGCCUACCAAAAUAUUGAUUCAUUAUGUGUAUCCUUGUAUAGGCGAAUGGUUGGGGGAACAUAUUAUGGUGAGAUUUGCUGUUAAAUGGCUUUAUCUUUAUUUUUGUGAUAUUCUUUACCAAGAUACUAAUCAUUGUAAAUUAAGGGGGGGGGGUUAAACUAGCAAGUGUCAAAAUGGGAGUUUUUGGGUCAUUCUCAAACAAAUAUUAAGUGUACUUUGAACUUGAUGCCCUGAAUAAUUUCCUGUAACUCUGCAAUGCAGCAGGGACUCAUCAUAUUCUGAGAGACAUCUUUUUGUAAGGGAUGCUGUUUUAAAAUCUGAAAUACUUGUGAAUUUAUAAAAGCCUUGGUGUACAAUGAUAUGGUGUUUUAAAAAAAACAGAUUAACAUCACCUGGUUCCUGUGA
Molecule: long non-coding RNA, 6340 nt
Filed under: Podarcis lilfordi (Lilford's wall lizard)
Lineage: Eukaryota; Metazoa; Chordata; Lepidosauria; Squamata; Lacertidae
Source: RNAcentral